AACGCGAAGAACCUUACCAGCCCUUGACAUGUCCGGGACCGGUCGCAGAGAUGUGACCUUCUCUUCGGAGCUCGGAACACAGGUGCUGCAUGGCUGUCGUCAGCUCGUGUCGUGAGAUGUUGGGUUAAGUCCCGCAACGAGCGCAACCCCCGUCCUUAGUUGCUACCAUUUAGUUGAGCACUCUAAGGAGACUGCCGGUGAUAAGCCGCGAGGAAGGUGGGGAUGACGUCAAGUCCUCAUGGCCCUUACGGGCUGGGCUACACACGUGCUACAAUGGCGGUGACAGUGGGAUGCGAAGACGCAAGUCCUAGCAAAUCUCAAAAAGCCGUCUCAGUUCGGAUUGGGCUCUGCAACUCGAGCCCAUGAAGUUGGAAUCGCUAGUAAUCGUGGAUCAGCACGCCACGGUGAAUACGUUCCCGGGCCUUGUA
RNAcentral lists this ribosomal RNA (428 nucleotides) under uncultured Alphaproteobacteria bacterium. RNAcentral's name for it is "bacterial SSU rRNA". It matches the Rfam family "Bacterial small subunit ribosomal RNA", at positions 958 to 1385 of the family's 1533-position model. Lineage: Bacteria; Pseudomonadati; Pseudomonadota; Alphaproteobacteria. The record is from RNAcentral.